GGAAGGAUCAUUAACCAGCCGUGAAGGUCGCCCCGAAAGGGCAACGACCUUUCACCCGGCCACCCUUGCUUACUUUGACCUGUUGCUUUGGUGGGCCCGCCGUGAGGCCGCCGGGGAACUUUGAGCUCCCUGGUCCGUGCCCACCAAAGUCUUAACCGAACCCUGCAAGUUUUAUGUUGUCUGAGUGUAAAAAAGCACAAUCUUUUAAAACUUUCAACAACGGAUCUCUUGGUUCCGGCAUCGAUGAAGAACGCAGCGAAAUGCGAUAAGUAAUGUGAAUUGCAGAAUUCCGUGAAUCAUCGAAUCUUUGAACGCAUAUUGCGCCCUCUGGUAUUCCGGGGGGCAUGCCUGUCCGAGCGUCAUUACAAUCCUCAAGCACGGCUUGGUUGUUGAGCCAAUUGUCCUUAGAUGGACGGGCUUGAAAAGCAGUGGCGAUGCUGCGUCUCGGUCCGAGUGUAUGGGCUUUGUCACACACUCUGGUGACCCAGGCGGCAUUCUGUCAAACCUUUUUUAUACCUAAGAUUUGACCUCGGAUCAGGUAAGGAUACCCGCUGAACUUAAGCAUAUCAAUAAGCGGAGGAAAAGAAACCAACAGGGAUUGCCUCAGUAACGGCGAGUGAAGCGGCAAAAGCUCAAAUUUGAAAUCUGGCUUCCAUUUCUGGGGCCCGAGUUGUAAUUUGUAGAGGAUGCUUUGGGUGUGGCUGCGGUCUAAGUCCCCUGGAACGGGGCAUCAUAGAGGGUGAGAAUCCCGUCUGGGACCGCUAGCCACGUCUAUGUAAAGCUCCUUCGACGAGUCGAGUUGUUUGGGAAUGCAGCUCUAAAUGGGUGGUAAAUUUCAUCUAAAGCUAAAUAUUGGCCGGAGACCGAUAGCGCACAAGUAGAGUGAUCGAAAGAUGAAAAGCACUUUGAAAAGAGAGUUAAACAGCAUGUGAAAUUGUUGAAAGGGAAGCGCUUGCGACCAGACUCGGCCGCGGAGGCUCAGCCGGCAUUUUUUGGCGGUGCAUUUCUCCGCAGUCGAGCCAGCGUCGGUUUUGGCGGCUGGUCAAAGGCCCUCGGAAUGUGUCGCCUCUCGGGGCGUCUUAUAGCCGGGGGUGCAAUGCAGCCUGUCGAGACCGAGGAACGCGCUCCGGCACGGACGCUGGCGUAAUGGUCGUAAGCGACCCGUCUUGAAACACGGACCAAGGAGUCUAACAUCCACGCGAGUGUUCGGGUGUCAAACCCGUGCGCGCAGUGAAAGCGAACGGAGGUGGGAACCCUUUGGGUGCACCAUCGACCGAUCCUGAUGUCUUCGGAUGGAUUUGAGUAAGAGCAUGGCUGUUGGGACCCGAAAGAUGGUGAACUAUGCCUGAAUAGGGUGAAGCCAGAGGAAACUCUGGUGGAGGCUCGCAGCGGUUCUGACGUGCAAAUCGAUCGUCAAAUUUGGGUAUAGGGGCGAAAGACUAAUCGAACCAUCUGGUAGCUGGUUCCUGC
Molecule: unclassified non-coding RNA, 1470 nt
Filed under: uncultured Eurotiomycetes
Lineage: Eukaryota; Fungi; Ascomycota; Eurotiomycetes
Description: sequence contains 18S rRNA gene, ITS1, 5.8S rRNA gene, ITS2, 28S rRNA gene
Rfam family: Eukaryotic large subunit ribosomal RNA (bases 525-1470)
Source: RNAcentral